This 548-nucleotide ribosomal RNA is filed under the name Fusarium solani. RNAcentral describes it as "eukaryotic LSU rRNA". The stretch from base 171 to 324 matches the Rfam family "5.8S ribosomal RNA". Lineage: Eukaryota; Fungi; Ascomycota; Sordariomycetes; Hypocreales; Nectriaceae. The record is from RNAcentral.
ACCUGCGGAGGGAUCAUUACCGAGUUAUACAACUCAUCAACCCUGUGAACAUACCUAUAACGUUGCCUCGGCGGGAACAGACGGCCCCGUAACACGGGCCGCCCCCGCCAGAGGACCCCCUAACUCUGUUUCUAUAAUGUUUCUUCUGAGUAAACAAGCAAAUAAAUUAAAACUUUCAACAACGGAUCUCUUGGCUCUGGCAUCGAUGAAGAACGCAGCGAAAUGCGAUAAGUAAUGUGAAUUGCAGAAUUCAGUGAAUCAUCGAAUCUUUGAACGCACAUUGCGCCCGCCAGUAUUCUGGCGGGCAUGCCUGUUCGAGCGUCAUUACAACCCUCAGGCCCCCGGGCCUGGCGUUGGGGAUCGGCGGAAGCCCCCUGCGGGCACAACGCCGUCCCCCAAAUACAGUGGCGGUCCCGCCGCAGCUUCCAUUGCGUAGUAGCUAACACCUCGCAACUGGAGAGCGGCGCGGCCACGCCGUAAAACACCCAACUUCUGAAUGUUGACCUCGAAUCAGGUAGGAAUACCCGCUGAACUUAAGCAUAUCAAUA